UGUAUGAAGAGAAUUUUCUGAAUUGGGAAUUUUUAAAAUGGACUUUUUCAUAGAGUUGCUAGCUCUCUUGUAUAUAUAAGAACUCAUAUUCUACUGAAUUUUUAAGCGAUAACUCAUUUUUUAUUCAUACAGGGAGUUCAUAACUCCUACAGUUCAAAAAAUAACAACAUACUGCCUUUUAUGUGCUAUAUAUUUUAGAGAAAUUUAAUUUUUUAGUGAUCUUUGUACAACUAACAUAACACUAAUAGCAUAAUUUCAUCAAUACUGAGUGGUAAGAUUACAAACUCUACUUUCAGUUUGUGUUUUAUAAUUUGUACUUUUCAUCAUUUGCUCUUUGGGGAAGGGGUUCUGUAAUGUUGAAAUUAUUCAUUUUUUCUUCUUAAUAACACUAGCAUAUAAUAUAGGCGAACCCAAAACCCUACCUUUUAAAAAAAAGUAAAAUGUUAAGCAUUUAUCAGAAAAAGUGUAAAGAAAGUUGUACGUAGAUUAUUGUCAUUAAAAAUAACAAGCAUAUAAUUAAUUACUUUGUAAACAUGAAUUCAGUACAUCUGCUACUGAUAACAUUGAUUGUUUUAGUACACUAAUACUUCACAACACAAAAGCAGAAUUAGAGGAAUAAACAGGCCUGUUAGAUCUCAAGUUGUUUUCAGUGUCCAAGCAUGAGUAAUGAAGCUGAUAGAACUGCAGAAGGAAAGUUAGUAGUGUAUACUAUGAGAACUAUUCUAAGUUUACAGCAGCAUAGAGAUGCAAAUAAAUUUUGCAAAAGAUAUAAUUAUGUCUGAGAUGCUAAAGAAAUGCACCGGUAGGAAAAGUUAAAGGACAACAUUAAAAAUGUAUGUUAAUUCUAUUACUAGAAAGCCAAUGAAAGGUAAUUGGUUGGUAGCUCAAAGCUAACACUAUCCAUAUAGUUCAAUGGGAUUCAUCUUUGCUGUAAAGAAACAUGCAGAUAUUUGCACCUGUUCUUUUGGCAGGCACAGAAAGGAGUGGAAUGCAAGGGGGUACAAAUUCUAAUUUCAAUUAUUUUAUAAGUAAUUAGGUAAAAUUUUUGCAUCUGGAAGGUCAAAUAUAUUGUUGAAAAGGCAUUUGAGGGUUGUAAGAAAUGGCGUGCAAUUGAAAGAAUUGAAACAGGGUAGACAGUGUCAUGUCAAGAACGUGAAAAUAUUUUAAAAACAUUCAUGAUUUUUGCAGGCAACCAGAUCAAAGUGUAAAACGUGCCACCAUGGACUGUCGAAACCAUUAUUUUGUAAUGAUUGUCUAAAGAAAUACACAAGUUAUGUCAGCUGUGAUUGUAAGGGAAUUUGCUCCAGCUACAAGAGUUCAACUAUCCAGAUAUACUAAGAUGAAGGAACUACACAUUUAGAAUCUGUAUCAAGGCAACACACAAGGAAAACAUUUUCUUAUUUCCUAAGCAGCUUAAAGGCAAUGGGAUUCAACACAAAUACAGUUGCUUUUGAUAUUGGUUUGUGGGUUGUAGAUUGGUAAUGGUUGGAUUAUGUGUAAUUAAAAAAAGUAUCACUUUUGUAAUAUUUUUUAUCUAUUCAGAAAUGAGAAAAUAAAUGACCUUUUUAAUUCUU
Molecule: long non-coding RNA, 1574 nt
Filed under: Stegodyphus dumicola
Lineage: Eukaryota; Metazoa; Arthropoda; Arachnida; Araneae; Eresidae
Description: uncharacterized LOC118186507
Source: RNAcentral